CUUGUGACUAGCACUUCCUUCCUGCCGGAUGGGGCUUGCUUCCUGGUGUUGGAGGAGAGAGGAGCUUGUUCAGCCAGUCUGGAGUGCCAUGCUCUUUCUUGGUUCAGCCUGAAGAUUCAAGUCCAAUCUCUUCUGAAGACAUCCUACAUUACCUUGAAUUACUCUGAUAGAAAAUGAAUAGAAUCUACAGGCACUUUACAGAAACUGUG
RNAcentral lists this long non-coding RNA (209 nucleotides) under Monodelphis domestica (gray short-tailed opossum). RNAcentral's name for it is "lncRNA (ENSMODG00000045733.1)". Lineage: Eukaryota; Metazoa; Chordata; Mammalia; Didelphimorphia; Didelphidae. The record is from RNAcentral.